Mercenaria mercenaria is the source of this 417-nucleotide long non-coding RNA. RefSeq lists it as uncharacterized. Lineage: Eukaryota; Metazoa; Mollusca; Bivalvia; Venerida; Veneridae. The record is from RefSeq and is a predicted model, not a curated record. The transcript is spliced from 3 exons.
UAUCAAGAACUUCAAAAUUGUCAAUAGAAGAGGUUCUAGCACGUACAGUUCUGAUGUUUUACUACAAUUUGAUGUCCAACGCAAUGUAAUGUUAUGCUGCAGACAUCGCCGUAGUGUACAACACGGGACAAUCGUAUUUAUAGAUGGUGUUCAUUUCAACAACCUGGGAUUUGAAAUUUUUCCGCAAUGUGAGAGGAAUAAUUUUGAAGUGCAUUGCAGAUAUGUAAUUCACACAUGUACUGGAAGAUACUGUAUUCUAAUUGGUGGCACAUUUGUAUCUAUAUUAUCAUAUAACAACAGCGAAGGCUGCUGCAGCUGAGGAAGCUGCUAAAACCAAACGAAGAACAAACCAAAUUGAGCAGGUUUCAGAAGCUAACACAUCCAAUUUAUCAGAAAAAGACCUGAACACAAUUAUAU